RNAcentral lists this ribosomal RNA (484 nucleotides) under uncultured bacterium. RNAcentral's name for it is "partial 16S ribosomal RNA". It matches the Rfam family "Bacterial small subunit ribosomal RNA", at positions 30 to 507 of the family's 1533-position model. The record is from RNAcentral.
AUUGAACGCUGGCGGCAGGCCUAACACAUGCAAGUCGAGCGGAUGAGGGGAGCUUGCUCCGGGAUUCAGCGGCGGACGGGUGAGUAAUGCCUAGGAAUCUGCCUGGUAGUGGGGGAUAACGUCCGGAAACGGGCGCUAAUACCGCAUACGUCCUGAGGGAGAAAGUGGGGGAUCUUCGGACCUCACGCUAUUAGAUGAGCCUAGGUCGGAUUAGCUAGUUGGUGGGGUAAAGGCCUACCAAGGCGACGAUCCGUAACUGGUCUGAGAGGAUGAUCAGUCACACUGGAACUGAGACACGGUCCAGACUCCUACGGGAGGCAGCAGUGGGGAAUAUUGGACAAUGGGCGAAAGCCUGAUCCAGCCAUGCCGCGUGUGUGAAGAAGGUCUUCGGAUUGUAAAGCACUUUAAGUUGGGAGGAAGGGCAGUAAGUUAAUAUAGUGCUGUUUUGACGUUACCAAAAGAAGAAGCACCGGCUAACUUCGUG